Molecule: long non-coding RNA, 264 nt
Filed under: Elaeis guineensis (African oil palm)
Lineage: Eukaryota; Viridiplantae; Streptophyta; Magnoliopsida; Arecales; Arecaceae
Description: long non-coding RNA (EGUI_LNC001509)
Source: RNAcentral
UAUGUAAGGAACCAUAUUUGCAGACGUUCCCAAUAUAUGCAAAAAAGAAAUCCUUAAUUUAAUUAUUAAAAUUUGAAAGGUUGACCGUUCAAGGAUAAACCACUAAAAAAUCUCAACAAUGGAAUCGAAGCGCGGGCUUUACACCGUGUCAACUUGCUUUUCUGUGAAUCCGCAACAGGUUGCAGGUAAAUAUGCGAAGGAGUGGCAGGUGGGGAAGACUGGGAGCGAGCUUUUAAUGAGAGCUGCUGGAUUUUGUCCUACGUC